Long non-coding RNA from Boleophthalmus pectinirostris (great blue-spotted mudskipper), 439 nucleotides. RefSeq lists it as uncharacterized. The transcript is spliced from 3 exons. NCBI's taxonomy places the organism in Eukaryota, Metazoa, Chordata, Actinopteri, Gobiiformes, Gobiidae. The record is from RefSeq and is a predicted model, not a curated record.
AGAGCGGAGCUGCACUGACCUGCAGACAGAGACCCGACUCGACCUGAGUUCACAGACAUGGAGACCACAGUGCUGGCUUUGAUGCUUUGUCUGGUGAUGACUUCUUUUCCAACGGAGUCUGUGAGAAUUCCCCUGAGUAUGAUGGACAAAUCAGUUGAUGACAUGUACAACGGCUGCAGUGAUGCAAUGGCUGAAAAGGUCAAGAAUGAAUACUUCCCCAGAGAGAAGAAGAAGAAUGAGUUAUUCAAAAAGGCCUGGGAGAAUAAAGAAAACACUGCAACUAAAAAAAUAUGAAAAAAGCAACAAGACACUGACCAAAAAGAUCAGAUCCAAGCGUUGUUGGUCUACACUGGACAGGCCCCUAAGGUCUAUGAACCCUUUAAUGCAGUGGUUCGAGACAGUGCAGAUAAAUAUGCCACUAAUGAAUUCACAUACCACG